GCAAAUCGAGAUUAAUAUGACAAAAAUUAUCAUGUUUCUGUACGCUAUGAUUUUAUUUUUUACCCUCUUUCAAAUUGUAAAUAGUGCUGGCGGUAAGACAUUUUUUCAAAAAAAAAUUUCUUUUGUAUUUUCUACACAAUCUUUUAUCUCAUUUUAGAUUUGAUGUGUUCACUGGUAUAAGAGAAAAAUGAAAAAAAUUGAGAAGAGAGAAGUGUAAAUUGUUUUUGAAAGUACAAAAAUGCCCUUGUAUUAAAAGUACAUUCACAAAAAUUAAUUUAAUUUUUUUUUUCAAUUCAUUGUUUAAUUCAAGGGCAUAGAGAAUUUUUUAAGCAUUUUUGCACAUUCUUUCCUCUUUCUUCUCACUUUAGAGGAGUUCAGAAAACAAAAAAGGUACUGUAUGAGACCCACCAAAUAUUCUUUCCUCUUCUCAAUUUCUCUUCUUGCCAAACAAGAGAAAUUUCCAACUUCUCUUCUCUUUCUCUCUUCUCUAUCUCUCUCUUCUUUAUUUCUCUCAAAUCAAACAAAGCCUUAGCCAAUUAUUUUUUUUAGAAAUAUUUUAAAUAUUUAUAUUAAAUGAAAUAUCAACUAUUGACUACUUUUCAAGACACUAUGUGAGGAACUCAAGUUGUAAGGUUACGACUGCUGAGAUUAGAUUAGAAAACAAAAUGUAAGAUGUGAACUUUUCCACAAUUAGUAAUUUUUGUUAAAAAUGCAAGUGAAGUUAACAAAAAAAAUAUGACUAAGAUUCAAGAAAGUGAGUGACAUUGAGAAAGAGUGAUAAAGAGAGGUGAGAGCCAACGCCACAUACCAAGACACCACAUACCAAGGUGACUCCAGCCAUCACCUAAGGGCCAACCUUAUUAACCCCAUAAACAACUUGCCUCCCCCAGUUAGUGACUUUGUCUUACUCCCUUUAUAUUAGCUUUGGGUAAACAAUCAUCAUUUUAGUAAUUUAGUCCUUAAAUUUAUUUCAAGUUGCAAACAUAUUCACAAUUAUCUUUUUUUAUUAGUUAUUUGAUCAUUAAUUUUUUUUAAGUUGUCAAUUUAAUUUUCGAGUAUAUUUUUUAUUAAUCAUUUUUGUUCAUAAAAUUAGAAAUAAAAGAGAGAUUAAAAAUAUGUACUAUAUUAUGUUUAUAAUUUCGAUACAUUCAUAAACUAUAGCGACAAUACCUCAGAUGUUCAGAGAUUAAAAUGGUUGUUACUCGUUGCAUUCAAAAUAUUUAUUUGUUUUAUAUUAUUUGACAUUAAUAUCAAUUAAGUAUUAAAUAAAUUUAUUCACUAAAAUAUUUAUGGCUUAAUUACUGUUUUAGUCCUCUAAUCAACUUUUCACACUUAAAAAAUGGUGGCAUUAAGUUGAAAUUUAAGUUUUUAAUAGUAGUUUUUUGUUGUAUUAUUAUGAGUGUUGACCACUCCACAUCAUUGGAUCGAAUGCUGGAUUUUUAAAAAUAUGUCAAAUCAUAAUUUUUUUUGUAUAAAAAUAUGAUAGAAAGAUUAAAAUUAUGUGAUUUUAAAAUAGGGGAACUAAUUUUAUGAAUCAGUAAAUAUAGUGAGAUCCAAAAUUGUAAUUAAGCCAAAUAUUUAUUGUAUUUCAAUAUACAUUUAUUCAUUAAAAAGGACACCAAUAUGGACUCGGUUCAAAGGUGUACCUUACUAUUUUUAAUAAAUGUUAUGUAAUUUUUAUGGACUAAAUUGCAAACAUAUCCUAAAUGCCUUUUUUUUUAGCAUUUUUAUGUACUAAAUUGACAAUUAAAAAAAAUUGAGAAUUAAUUUUUGAAUAGCUAAAUAUAUAUUUGUGGAACAAAAUAAUUAAUAAAUAAAAUAUUUAUGAAUGUGUUUACAGGAUUAUAAUGAUAACUCAUCACAUAUAAAGAUAGUAAUGUAGCAACAUUACAUGAUAAUACAGGAUAAACAAGACAAAGUUUAACGUAUCGAAUAAAUUUUAUUUUGUAUGAUAUUUGAUGGACAAAAUGUUAUUUUAGACAACUUGUGUAAAACACGUAAAGUUGUCUCGUGAUUCAGUAAAUGAUAGGAAUUUCAGUUUUUG
Molecule: long non-coding RNA, 2044 nt
Filed under: Trifolium pratense (red clover)
Lineage: Eukaryota; Viridiplantae; Streptophyta; Magnoliopsida; Fabales; Fabaceae
Description: long non-coding RNA (TPRA_LNC009402)
Source: RNAcentral